This 776-nucleotide ribosomal RNA is filed under the name uncultured bacterium. RNAcentral describes it as "bacterial SSU rRNA". It matches the Rfam family "Bacterial small subunit ribosomal RNA", at positions 74 to 836 of the family's 1533-position model. The record is from RNAcentral.
GUCUCUUCGGGGAUGAUUAAACCGGCGCACGGGUGAGUAACACGUGAGUGACCUGCCUUUUAGACUGGAACAACUUACCGAAAGGUGAGCUAAUGCCGGAUGAGUUAUAUAAGUGCAUGUUUAUAUAGGAAAAGUUGGGGAGACCUGACGCUGAAAGAUGGACUCGCGUCCCAUUAGCUAGUUGGUAGGGUAAUGGCCUACCAAGGCGACGAUGGGUAGCCGGCCUGAGAGGGUGGCCGGCCACACUGGGACUGAGACACGGCCCAGACUCCUACGGGAGGCAGCAGUGGGGAAUUUUGCGCAAUGCUCGUAAGAGUGACGCAGCGACGCCGCGUGAAUGACGAAGGCCUUCGGGUCGUAAAGUUCUUUCGACAGGGAAGAAAAUGCCUAUAAGUAACUGUGUAUGUAUUGACGGUACCUGUAUAAGCAGCCCCGGCUAACUCCGUGCCAGCAGCCGCGGUAAUACGGAGGGGGCGAGCGUUGUUCGGAGUGACUGGGUGUAAAGAGCACGUAGGCGGUGUUGUAAGUCAUUAGUCAAAGACUAGAGCUCAACUUUAGUAAGGCUAGUGAUACUAUAAUACUAGAGUAUCAGAGAGGAUUGCAGAAUUCCUGGUGUAGCGGUGAAAUGCGUAGAUAUCAGGAGGAAUACCGUUAGCGAAGGCGGCAAUCUGGCUGGAAACUGACGCUGAGGUGCGAAAGCGUGGGUAGCAAACAGGAUUAGAUACCCUGGUAGUCCACGCUGUAAACGAUGGAUGCUAAGUGUUGGGCUUUUAAGU